Molecule: ribosomal RNA, 1165 nt
Filed under: Symplocastrum flechtnerae
Lineage: Bacteria; Bacillati; Cyanobacteriota; Cyanophyceae; Oscillatoriales; Microcoleaceae
Description: 16S ribosomal RNA
Rfam family: Bacterial small subunit ribosomal RNA
Source: RNAcentral
GGGGAAUUUUCCGCAAUGGGCGAAAGCCUGACGGAGCAAUACCGCGUGAGGGAAGAAGGCUCUUGGGUCGUAAACCUCUUUUAUCAGGGAAGAAAAAAAUGACGGUACCUGAAGAAUCAGCCUCGGCUAACUCCGUGCCAGCAGCCGCGGUAAUACGGAGGAGGCAAGCGCUAUCCGGAAUUAUUGGGCGUAAAGCGUCCGCAGGUGGCUUAUCAAGUCUGCUGUCAAAGAGUGGGGCUUAACCCCAUUAAGGCAGUGGAAACUGAGAAGCUAGAGUGCCGUAGGGGUAGAGGGAAUUCCCGGUGUAGCGGUGAAAUGCGUAGAGAUCGGGAAGAACAUCGGUGGCGAAAGCGCUCUACUGGACGGCAACUGACACUCAGGGACGAAAGCUAGGGGAGCGAAUGGGAUUAGAUACCCCAGUAGUCCUAGCCGUAAACGAUGGAUACUAGGUGUGGCUUGUAUCGACCCGAGCCGUGCCGUAGCUAACGCGUUAAGUAUCCCGCCUGGGGAGUACGCACGCAAGUGUGAAACUCAAAGGAAUUGACGGGGGCCCGCACAAGCGGUGGAGUAUGUGGUUUAAUUCGAUGCAACGCGAAGAACCUUACCAGGGCUUGACAUGUCCGGAACCUCAGGGAAACUUGGGGGUGCCUUCGGGAGCCGGAACACAGGUGGUGCAUGGCUGUCGUCAGCUCGUGUCGUGAGAUGUUGGGUUAAGUCCCGCAACGAGCGCAACCCUCGUCCUUAGUUGCCAGCAUUAAGUUGGGCACUCUAGGGAGACUGCCGGUGACAAACCGGAGGAAGGUGGGGAUGACGUCAAGUCAGCAUGCCCCUUACGCCCUGGGCUACACACGUACUACAAUGCUACGGACAAAGGGCAGCAAGACAGCGAUGUCAAGCUAAUCCCAGAAACCGUGGCUCAGUUCAGAUUGCAGGCUGCAACUCGCCUGCAUGAAGGAGGAAUCGCUAGUAAUUGCAGGUCAGCAUACUGCAGUGAAUCCGUUCCCGGGCCUUGUACACACCGCCCGUCACACCAUGGAAGUUGGCCACGCCCGAAGUCGUUACCCUAACCUGUUAAAGGAGGGGGAUGCCGAAGGCAGGGCUGAUGACUGGGGUGAAGUCGUAACAAGGUAGCCGUACCGGAAGGUGUGGCUGGAUCACCUCCUUU